GACGAACGCUGGCGGCGUGCUUAACACAUGCAAGUCGAACGGAAAGGCCCUGCUUUUGUGGGUUGCUCGAGUGGCGAACGGGUGAGUAACACGUGAGUAACCUGCCCUUUACUUUGGGAUAACUUCAGGAAACUGGGGCUAAUACCGGAUAGGAGCUCCUGCUGCAUGGUGGGGGUUGGAAAGUUUCGGCGGUUGGGGAUGGUCUCGCGGCUUAUCAGCUUGUUGGUGGGGUAGUGGCUUACCAAGGCUUUGACGGGUAGCCGGCCUGAGAGGGUGACCGGCCACAUUGGUACUGCGAUACGGCCCAGAGUCCUACGGGAGGCAGCAGUGGGGAAUAUUGCACAAUGGGCGGAAGCCUGAUGAAGCAACGCCGCGUGCGGGAUGACGGCCUUCGGGUUGUAAACCGCUUUCGCCUGUGACGAAGCGUGAGUGACGGUAAUGGGUAAAGAAGCACCGGCUAACUACGUG
Molecule: ribosomal RNA, 468 nt
Filed under: uncultured bacterium
Lineage: Bacteria
Description: partial 16S ribosomal RNA
Rfam family: Bacterial small subunit ribosomal RNA
Source: RNAcentral